RNAcentral lists this transfer RNA (71 nucleotides) under Isurus paucus (longfin mako shark). RNAcentral's name for it is "tRNA-Ser". It matches the Rfam family "tRNA". Rfam says of the family: Transfer RNA (tRNA) molecules are approximately 80 nucleotides in length. Lineage: Eukaryota; Metazoa; Chordata; Chondrichthyes; Lamniformes; Lamnidae. RNAcentral also lists the same sequence under 1 other name. The record is from RNAcentral.
AAGAAAGUGGCAGAGUGGUGAUGUGGUUAGCUUGAAACUAACAUAUGGGGGUUCAAUUCCUUCCUUUCUUG